This 253-nucleotide ribosomal RNA is filed under the name uncultured bacterium. RNAcentral describes it as "partial 16S ribosomal RNA". It matches the Rfam family "Bacterial small subunit ribosomal RNA", at positions 524 to 769 of the family's 1533-position model. The record is from RNAcentral.
GACAGGGGGGACGAAGUAUUAUUCGGAAUGACUGGGCGUAAAGAGUAUGUAGGCGGCUUGCUACGUUGAUAGUGAAAGACCAAAAAGCUAUUUUGGAUAUACAAUCAAUACGGGCAAACUAGAGUUCGAGAGGGGAUAAUGUAAUUCCUAGUUGAGCAAUAAAAUGCGCAUUUAGAUUAGGAGGAAGGCCACUUAGCGAAAGCAAUUAUCUGGCUCGUCAUACUGACGCUGAGAUACGAAAGCACGGGGGAGC